AUCACACAGUUGGAGGUAUACUAGAUAGAGCCAUUGAAGCAGAGGACAAAAAACAUGGAGAUUUAUUGAGGCUGGAUCAUGUUGAGGGCUACCUUGAACUGUCUGCGAAGACAAAGUCAUAUUUUGCUGCUACUGUUGCUUCAUGGGAUGCAGAUUUUUAUGUGAAAGUUGAUGAUGAUGUUCAUGUAAAUAUAGUAACACUAGGAGAAACUUUGGCAAGAUACAGGAAAAAGCCACGGGUGUAUAUCGGAUGUAUGAAACUGGUCCUAUCCUUGCUCAGAAG
Non-coding RNA from Camellia sinensis, 283 nucleotides. NCBI's taxonomy places the organism in Eukaryota, Viridiplantae, Streptophyta, Magnoliopsida, Ericales, Theaceae. The record is from RefSeq and is a predicted model, not a curated record.